This 431-nucleotide ribosomal RNA is filed under the name uncultured bacterium. Its description in RNAcentral is "partial 16S ribosomal RNA". It matches the Rfam family "Bacterial small subunit ribosomal RNA", at positions 29 to 507 of the family's 1533-position model. The record is from RNAcentral.
AACGAACGCUGGCGGCAGGCUUAACACAUGCAAGUCGAGCGCCCCGCCAGGGGAGCGGCAGACGGGUGAGUAACGCGUGGGAACGUACCUUUUGGUUCGGAACAACUCCGGGAAACUGGAGCUAAUACCGGAUAAGCCCUAACGGGGAAAGAUUUAUCGCCGAAAGCUCGGCCCGCGUCUGAUUAGCUAGUUGGUGAGGUAACGGCUCACCAAGGCGACGAUCAGUAGCUGGUCUGAGAGGAUGAUCAUCCACACUGGGCCUGAGACACGGCCCAGACUCCUACGGGAGGCAGCAGUGGGGAAUAUUGGACAAUGGGCGCAAGCCUGAUCCAGCCAUGCCGCGUGAGUGAUGAAGGCCUUAGGGUUGUAAAGCUCUUUUGUCCGGGAAGAUAAUGACGGUACCGGAAGAAUAAGCCCCGGCUAACUUCGUG